UUCAGACUGCUUUGACCAAAUACAGCAAAAAUAUUUCAGAAAUUCCUAUUAUAGAAGAAAGCCAUUUUGCUAAAAUUACUAAGAAAAUACAGAUUAAAAAAGGUGGUAUUUUAUAUCAAGAGGAAUUAAUUGCUGCCUACAUGGAACAAGUUAAGCAAGACAUUCAGAGACAGAUACAACUGGAGAUGAUAUUUCAAUGCGAGAUAAUAAUAUUGAAGACUCCCAAAGUAUCAAUAGUGUUAACUCUGAAGAAUUGGCUGAGAUUGUUAGAAAAGCAGAAGAAGAAGUUUUACAUCAAAGAUAAUGAGAUUCCCGACAAAAGAUGGUGGUGGGGUCUACUAGGAC
This 345-nucleotide long non-coding RNA is filed under the name Nicotiana benthamiana. RNAcentral's name for it is "long non-coding RNA (NBEN_LNC010629)". The record is from RNAcentral. Lineage: Eukaryota; Viridiplantae; Streptophyta; Magnoliopsida; Solanales; Solanaceae.